RNAcentral lists this transfer RNA (74 nucleotides) under Nitrospiraceae bacterium. Its description in RNAcentral is "tRNA-Met". It matches the Rfam family "tRNA". From Rfam's summary of the family: Transfer RNA (tRNA) molecules are approximately 80 nucleotides in length. Their secondary structure includes four short double-helical elements and three loops (D, anti-codon, and T loops). The record is from RNAcentral. Lineage: Bacteria; Pseudomonadati; Nitrospirota; Nitrospiria; Nitrospirales; Nitrospiraceae.
CGCGGGGUGGAGCAGCACGGUAGCUCGUCGGGCUCAUAACCCGAAGGUCGCAGGUUCAAAUCCUGCCCCCGCCA